RNAcentral lists this ribosomal RNA (292 nucleotides) under uncultured bacterium. RNAcentral's name for it is "partial 16S ribosomal RNA". The record is from RNAcentral.
GGACUACUGGGGUAUCUAAUCCUGUUUGAUCCCCACGCUUUCGUGUAUGAGUGUCAGUAUAGGACCAGGUCGCCGCCUUCGCCACCGGUGUUCCUCCUGAUAUCUACGUAUUUCACCACUACACCAGGAAUUCCACGACCCUCUUCCAUACUCAAGUUUGGUAGUUUUGAAUGCACUUCCCAAGUUAAGCUCGGGGCUUUCACAUCCAACUUACCAAACCACCUGCACACGCUUUACGCCCAAUGAUUCCGAACAACGCUUGGACCCCCCGUCUUACCGCGGCUGCUGGCAC